RNAcentral lists this small RNA (126 nucleotides) under Arabidopsis thaliana (thale cress). Its description in RNAcentral is "ATSL173980". Lineage: Eukaryota; Viridiplantae; Streptophyta; Magnoliopsida; Brassicales; Brassicaceae. The record is from RNAcentral.
UUUAAAAAUUAAUACUUUAAAAAAAAAUCACGGGACGGGUAAAGAAAUUACAGAACGGGUUUUAUUUUGGAAUUGAGUUAUAUGGUGGUUGUAUUUGAAUCAAUAUUUAUAAAAUUUUAAAAUAUU